Long non-coding RNA from Arabidopsis lyrata subsp. lyrata, 1424 nucleotides. RefSeq lists it as uncharacterized. The transcript has 2 exons. The record is from RefSeq and is a predicted model, not a curated record. Lineage: Eukaryota; Viridiplantae; Streptophyta; Magnoliopsida; Brassicales; Brassicaceae.
CAUAUAGUUAAAACGAUAACUAUUCGAAAACAGAGGGAGUAUAUGAGAAGUUGGGAAUUAGAAAGUAUAGAGAGAGAUCUGGAUUGGGUUGGCAAAUUAGAGCUGUGAUUGUUUUUUUCUAUCAUUUAUUACCAUGUUCACGUUUACAGACGUCAAGUCAAUACUUUUUUUUUUUUUUUAUGAUGAUGAUGGUAAUUUAUUAAAAAGAAAUUUUCACGUUUCUGCUGAAAAAAAAGAUUUUCUCUCAGUAUUUGGCAAAGUGAGAUUUAGUUCUCACGUUUUGACAAUUAAGCCAAAAUCUGACGAAAAUACCCCUAAUGACUUAAACCAAAUGGCAGAGUUGGUUUCGGUUUAGUUACUUUUUCUUUUUUUACGGUUUGGUUUUGAAUUAAAAAAAAAAAAUUCUUGCGCAGAAACGAAGAAGAAGAAUGAGAGAGAGAAAGAGAGAAAGGCGAUGGAGGCGAUGGAGGCGAUGGAGGCGAUUUUAGGUUUCUUUCCCAACAAUGAUGGUUUUUGAUCGGAGGCGUUUGGAUCGGUUUAUUUUUGGUCCUCCAUGGAGUUUCAAUGGUCGGAUCUGUGGGUAUCAAUUUGAUUCUAGGGUUCUUGGGUUGAUUGCGGUGGUGUUCGGUGACCCGUUUGAAAGGUUCUGGUCAUGGGAAGGGACCAAUAUUGUGGUUUUCUUUCGAAUCGGUUUCAAAUUUCCAAGUUUGGGUGUUGUCAAGGAGGAGGAUUGGAAGAGUUACGGGCCCAAUUUGGGGGUUUCAAUGGUGAUGAAUUAUUCUCGCCGACGGGUUCUUUUUCAAAGAUUUUUGAGGUGUGGCUGAGUAUUGAUGGAUACCCGAUUGGGCAGAGAGGAAUCUCCGGUCUGGGUUCGAUGGCGGUGGGCGGUGUGGAUUGAUGGUGGUUCAAAGGACAUCAGAUCUGAUAGAGAGGAAGGUUUAAAUUGGGAUCAAUGGUGGCUUGCAACAAGGUCAAAGAUACAAAUCAGAUGUAUAUUCACGGUUGUUGUCUAAGUUCUUGGAAGGGUCCAAAUGAAGCAGAUAUGUGGUUCAAUUCUGGCUUUUCAAAGGAGGUGGGCUUAUUUUCAUGAUGUUUCAAGUCUGAGAUCAUGUCGACAAAUUUGGUUUUGGACUUUCAUGUUUCUACAGCGGAGGAGUGUUCUAGUUCUCUUUCAUGGUCUAUUUUUGUUGGUCGUAAUUGAGUUUGUAAUGUUUGUAAGGUAUUAAGGUAGUUAUUAAAUUAAGUGUCGUGUAUAUUAAGUUAAGUUAGUUAUGUCUUAACGGUUGUUGUGUCACAAGAAAGAAGAGUUACAACUCUUGAUUUUCAUGUCUGUUGGAUUCUAUUUAAGUUCCUUGUUGUAAACCUUAAACUACAGUCGUUGUUUUUUCACUUUUAUCUAAUAAAGAUAGAAGUUCUUUUCUUCA